AUUUAUCUUAAAAAUGUAUAUUUAUGAGAGCUUGUUAGAGUUUUCCACUUUAAGGCCACAAUGCAAUUCCACAAAAUUAAAGAAGGAUCAAUUAGCUCAGAGGUGUUGGCAGUGAUUCGUCAAAAAAAAUAGGGAAGUUCUUAAGGCGCAAAAAGGAUGUAGAUGUCGUCCAGGAAAUUCAAC
Non-coding RNA from Drosophila suzukii, 183 nucleotides. The record is from RefSeq and is a predicted model, not a curated record. Lineage: Eukaryota; Metazoa; Arthropoda; Insecta; Diptera; Drosophilidae.